UUAGGGAUUAACGGAAUCGCUGUAUUUUACAGAGGAAAGUCCGGACUCCGUCGGACACGAUGCCGGCUAACGGCCGGGAAACGGGAAAGACCUUAAUAGGUUUUUCCCGUUUACGGAUAGUGCAACAGAAAAUAUACCGCCUUACAAACUCCGUUUGUAAGGUAAGGGUGAAAAGGCGGGGUAAGAGCCCGCCGCGCAAGAUAGGUAACUAUUGCGGCAGUGUAAACCCCAUCGGGAGCAAGGUUAAGCAGUAAAGAAUGUCCGAUUCUUAAUUUACGGGUUAACCGCACUGAAUUUCCGCCGCAAGACGGAAAUAAGAAAGAUGAUUCCGCCGUUUUUACGGAACAGAAUCCGGCUUAUUAAUCCCUUUUUUU
Non-coding RNA from Treponema pedis str. T A4, 374 nucleotides. It matches the Rfam family "Bacterial RNase P class A". From Rfam's summary of the family: Ribonuclease P (RNase P) is a ubiquitous endoribonuclease, found in archaea, bacteria and eukarya as well as chloroplasts and mitochondria. Its best characterised activity is the generation of mature 5'-ends of tRNAs by cleaving the 5'-leader elements of precursor-tRNAs. Lineage: Bacteria; Pseudomonadati; Spirochaetota; Spirochaetia; Treponematales; Treponemataceae. The record is from Rfam.